This 240-nucleotide ribosomal RNA is filed under the name uncultured bacterium. RNAcentral's name for it is "partial 16S ribosomal RNA". It matches the Rfam family "Bacterial small subunit ribosomal RNA", at positions 15 to 236 of the family's 1533-position model. The record is from RNAcentral.
GAUCCUGGCUCAGGAUGAACGCUGGCGGCGUGCCUAACACAUGCAAGUCGAACGGAACUAUUUUGGAAACUCCUUCGGGAGCGGAAUCUUUAGUUUAGUGGCGGACGGGUGAGUAACGCGUGAGCAAUCUGCCUUUAAGAGGGGGAUAACAGUCGGAAACGGCUGCUAAUACCGCAUGAAGCAUCGAAACCGCAUGAUUUUGAUGCCAAAGGAGCAAUCCGCUUUUAGAUGAGCUCGCGU